Long non-coding RNA from Haliotis rubra (blacklip abalone), 114 nucleotides. RefSeq lists it as uncharacterized. The record is from RefSeq and is a predicted model, not a curated record. NCBI's taxonomy places the organism in Eukaryota, Metazoa, Mollusca, Gastropoda, Lepetellida, Haliotidae. The transcript has 4 exons.
UUUACCUUGCCACUGUUGGAAGAUGAUUUUUUGUUUUGGUAGGCUUUUUAUUUCGUUUUUUAGAUAAGGGUAUGUUUAAGUUAACUUCUGGGAGUUUAAGCUUGGUCGGCAUGU